CGGAUGGGUGGGGCAAAGUGGACCAAUGGUGGGAGAGGAACAAAAAACGGAGCUAAGCAUAAGUAUAGUUCGUUUAAGUUUGUUCAGCGGCAGUUUAUUAACGGAAUUAAAAGCCGGAAAGCUUGCAUCGUUGUGUAACUUUGUAAAACCGGAAAGUGGGCAUCAUUUAGAGCUCGUUUUCUGUCAGUUUAAGUUAAUGUAAUUGUCAUGAACGCCACAACUGGGACUAUUGCUAGCUAGCUAGCUUGAAUGGCAAAUGAUAAAGUGUGUGUGGAAAACUCCGCAUUUCUGACGUGCUUUGGAUACUGCGCCACACACACACUGCCCCAGAAAACGUGCUCCGCACUUGCCGCUGCCGCGUGCCCGAGGAGCCUGCUUGACACACAAAUACACGGGCAAAGCUUUAGCACAUGUUUCUCAACUACACUGAUUGGACACGGAUGGACACAGGGCACAACUGCUCUUCAACAACUUUAGAUUCCACGAAAGGUGGAGGCCAUUCUGCUGUCCACAGCACAUUCCCCUGAAAAUACCUCUGGGGAUCCUUUCCUCAGUGGCCGUGCCAUCACUCCUAUCAUCAGUCCCCUGAGCUGUACCUGUCCUGGAAAGCAGGGAGGCACUGGAAAUGCAAUGCCAUAUCAUUAUUUGUGGCAGUGGGUCCCUAAUGAGAAUAUAUGAGACUGAUAUGUUCAGUUGGGGAAAAAAAUGUUUCAGUAUUGCAAUUGUUAACUAGUGAGGAAAAAAUGGUUAAUACAAAGCUUAAGGUGACUUAAAAUAGUUGCAUCAUUUGGCAUUGCAAAUAAGCAUUUACGAGUAAAGUAUAACGCAUAGGUAAAAACUGUCUCCAGAGGCCACUUAAUACUUUCCAGUAUUUUGAUAAUGAAGAAGCUCACAGUUGGUGUUAUCUUGAGAGCUCAUGUUUGUCAGCUGAUUUGUUAAAUUAUUCUUCACCCAUGUGUGUCAUGAGAUGCUAAAAAGUGACAAAACUGAUGUAUUAGCUUGCUUUUGUGGGGAUUUAUUUAUUUAUUUUUUUACAUUUUGAACAUCCACAUUAAAUUUCAAAUGGUUUAUAUUUUACUUCAGCAUAUUAUUACUGUUCACUAUACAGUAUAAUGUAGAGUUCUUUCUUAAAAUUUGCUCUUAUCUGUGAAUGACUUGACUUAU
Lates calcarifer (barramundi perch) is the source of this 1164-nucleotide long non-coding RNA. RefSeq lists it as uncharacterized. The transcript has 3 exons. Lineage: Eukaryota; Metazoa; Chordata; Actinopteri; Centropomidae. The record is from RefSeq and is a predicted model, not a curated record.